Molecule: non-coding RNA, 1040 nt
Organism: Salmo salar (Atlantic salmon)
Lineage: Eukaryota; Metazoa; Chordata; Actinopteri; Salmoniformes; Salmonidae
Source: RefSeq, a predicted model, not a curated record
AAAGAGGUUUGUUUUCUCAUGAACCUACAGUAUGGACAGUUAUUGAUGUGUUCUCCUCACAGGGGAACUGCAGAAACCAGACAUUAGUGUCAAUGACGAAUCUUCUCAUGACAUCACCAUUAUUUGUGUACUUCCUGAGUCUGUCAGUGAUGGUCAUAGCUGUAACCUGUACACUGGAGACCAGACUCAGGCCUACAAAGAGGCUUGGGUCAGGACAUUUAACACAGCAUUAUCCAAACUAUUCUGUACCUUCAAUGUUACCAAGAAUGAUCUGUUCAGGCAUCUGCAGUUGGAGAGAGAUGUGAGCUGUGACUAUAGAGUGAACACAGGAUCACACUCUCUGUCUCCCCGCAGUGAUAAAUACAUUAUUAUAGGUCAGAAACCAAAUAUUACAGUCAGUCUGAAAGAGAACUUCAUCAUCACCUGUUUAAUUCCUGGCUCUGUCAGUUAUGACACCACCUGUAACCUGUAUGUUGGAGAGCAGAGUAAGCAUCUUAUAAAAGCACACAUCUGGAAGACGAAACACACAGAUUCCAAAUGCUGGUUCUGUCAAUUCUCUGUGGAGGAGAAUGAUCUUUUUAGAAGUCUACAGUCAGUGAGGAGUAGGGAGGUGAGCUGUGAUUACAGAGUGAGCUCAGGACCAAACUCUCUCUCUCCACGCAGUGAUGGGUACAACUUUACAGUGGGUAUGACUCCAGGUCCUAGAUCUACUUUGCCUCCCAGCAAGACAGUGAGUCCUACAGAAGGUGUGUUGGGCCUCUAAAUGACCAUCUCUGCAAAUACAAAUUGUACAGUCAAUGGUUUAGAAUAUGGGCCUGUAAAAUUAAGAGACCAACAUUAUGUAAUACCUUAUUCUUGUGUAAUCAUAUUGCUUCCCACUGGUUUCAACUGUUACUUCUACUUUGACCCCAGACACCACAGUGACAGCAACUUCCAGUUUGACCUCUCCUUUGACCUCCAGUACAGCAGUGAAUCCUACAUCAGCAGUUUCGACUGUUACUUCUACUUUGACCCCUGACAUCACAGUGAGACCAACUAGU